This 266-nucleotide ribosomal RNA is filed under the name uncultured bacterium. RNAcentral describes it as "partial 16S ribosomal RNA". It matches the Rfam family "Bacterial small subunit ribosomal RNA", at positions 793 to 1055 of the family's 1533-position model. The record is from RNAcentral.
GUCCUAGCUGUAAACGGUGCUUGCUUGCUGUAAAAGGAAUCGACCCCUUUUGUGGCGGAGCUAACGCGUUAAGCAAGCCGCCUGGGAAGUACGGUCGCAAGAUUAAAACUCAAAGAAAUUGACGGGGCCUGCACAAGCGGUGGAGUAUGUGGCUUAAUUCGAUGCAACGCGAAGAACCUUACCUGGCCUUGACAUGUACGUAGUAGAAGGGUGAAAGCCUGACGAGGUAGCAAUACCAGCGUACACAGGUGCUGCAUGGCUGUCGU